Molecule: antisense RNA, 72 nt
Filed under: Actinokineospora bangkokensis
Lineage: Bacteria; Bacillati; Actinomycetota; Actinomycetes; Pseudonocardiales; Pseudonocardiaceae
Description: ASpks TB sRNA
Rfam family: ASpks TB sRNA
Source: Rfam by way of RNAcentral
CUUCACCGAGCCCAGCAGCAGCGGGUGCGCGCGGUCGCCCUGGCCGUAGGUGGCCAGCAGCGCCUGGGCCUC